This 916-nucleotide non-coding RNA is filed under the name Protobothrops flavoviridis. Lineage: Eukaryota; Metazoa; Chordata; Lepidosauria; Squamata; Viperidae. The record is from RNAcentral.
AAGGUCUUGGUCUUGAACCUCAUAUUACCUAAAAUCAUUUGUUUAUACAUGCAAGCCUCACCACACCGGUGAAACAGCCAUAGAAAUCCAGAGCCGGCAUCAGUUUAUUUACCAUAACGCCAAGCAAUAGCCACACCCCCACGGGCAACACAGCAGUAGUUAACAUUAGGCCAUAAGUGAAAACUUGACCAAGCGAAAUGAACACAAGGGCCGGUUAAUCUCGUGCCAGCGACCGCGGUUACACGAUAGGCCCAAGACAAUAUUAACGGCGUAAAAAUGACUAAAACAACAGUUAUAACUUUAGGGUAAAAACCAAACUAGGCUGUAAAAAGCCAUAAGUCACAUUAAUUUUUUCCCCCUAACACCAUACAACUUUGACUCAUGAAAGCUAGGACACAAACUAAGAUUAGAUACCCUACUAUGCCUAGCCGUAAUACACAAUUAAAUUACCAAUUGUCCGCCAAACAACUACGAGUCAUACUUAAAACUUAAAAGACUUGACGGUACUUCACCACAACCUAGAGGAGCCUGUCUAAUAACCGACAAUCCACGAUUAACCCCACCCUUUCUCGCCCAACAGUCUAUAUACCGCCGUCGCCAGCUUACCUUGUAAAAGAAAUAAAGUGAGCCAAAGAGUACUACACUAAAACGACAGGUCGAGGUGUAACCAAUGAAAGGGACCAAGAUGGGCUACAUUCUCCCAGCCGAGAAUACGAAUAGCACUAUGAAACUAGUGCCUGAAGGCGGAUUUAGCAGUAAGAUAAGAAUAAAACACCUAACUGAACACAACGCAAUGAAGUGCGCACACACCGCCCGUCAUCCCUGCCACCACAACACUUAUAUCAAUAAACCAACUAAAAAAAUCAAACAGGGCAAGUCGUAACAUGGUAAGUGUACUGGAAAGUGUACUUAGAAA